AGAGUUUGAUCCUGGCUCAGGACGAACGCUGGCGGCGUGGAUAAGACAUGCAAGUCGAACGAGAGAAUUGCUAGCUUGCUAAUAAUUCUCUAGUGGCGCACGGGUGAGUAACACGUGAGUAACCUGCCCCCGAGAGCGGGAUAGCCCUGGGAAACUGGGAUUAAUACCGCAUAGUAUCGAAAGAUUAAAGCAGCAAUGCGCUUGGGGAUGGGCUCGCGGCCUAUUAGUUAGUUGGUGAGGUAACGGCUCACCAAGGCGAUGACGGGUAGCCGGUCUGAGAGGAUGUCCGGCCACACUGGAACUGAGACACGGUCCAGACACCUACGGGUGGCAGCAGUCGAGAAUCAUUCACAAUGGGGGAAACCCUGAUGGUGCGACGCCGCGUGGGGGAAUGAAGGUCUUCGGAUUGUAAACCCCUGUCAUGUGGGAGCAAAUUAAAAAGAUAGUACCACAAGAGGAAGAGACGGCUAACUCUGUGCCAGCAGCCGCGGUAAUACAGAGGUCUCAAGCGUUGUUCGGAAUCACUGGGCGUAAAGCGUGCGUAGGCUGUUUCGUAAGUCGUGUGUGAAAGGCGCGGGCUCAACCCGCGGACGGCACAUGAUACUGCGAGACUAGAGUAAUGGAGGGGGAACCGGAAUUCUCGGUGUAGCAGUGAAAUGCGUAGAUAUCGAGAGGAACACUCGUGGCGAAGGCGGGUUCCUGGACAUUAACUGACGCUGAGGCACGAAGGCCAGGGGAGCGAAAGGGAUUAGAUACCCCUGUAGUCCUGGCAGUAAACGGUGCACGCUUGGUGUGCGGGGAAUCGACCCCCUGCGUGCCGGAGCUAACGCGUUAAGCGUGCCGCCUGGGGAGUACGGUCGCAAGAUUAAAACUCAAAGAAAUUGACGGGGACCCGCACAAGCGGUGGAGUAUGUGGCUUAAUUCGAUGCAACGCGAAGAACCUUACCUGGGCUUGACAUGUAAUGAACAACAUGUGAAAGCAUGCGACUCUUCGGAGGCGUUACACAGGUGCUGCAUGGCCGUCGUCAGCUCGUGUCGUGAGAUGUUUGGUUAAGUCCAGCAACGAGCGCAACCCCUGUUGCCAGUUACCAGCACGUGAAGGUGGGGACUCUGGCGAGACUGCCCAGAUCAACUGGGAGGAAGGUGGGGACGACGUCAGGUCAGUAUGGCCCUUAUGCCCAGGGCUGCACACGUACUACAAUGCCCAGUACAGAGGGGGCCGAAGCCGCGAGGCGGAGGAAAUCCUGAAAACUGGGCCCAGUUCGGACUGUAGGCUGCAACCCGCCUACACGAAGCCGGAAUCGCUAGUAAUGGCGCAUCAGCUACGGCGCCGUGAAUACGUUCCCGGGUCUUGUACACACCGCCCGUCA
This 1370-nucleotide ribosomal RNA is filed under the name uncultured bacterium. Its description in RNAcentral is "bacterial SSU rRNA". It matches the Rfam family "Bacterial small subunit ribosomal RNA". The record is from RNAcentral.